CGUACUGCUCAGUAACACGUGGACAUCCUGCCCUUGGGUCCGGCAUAACCCCGGGAAACUGGCUAUAAUUCCGGAUAACGCACAUAUGCUGGAAUGCUUUCUGCGUAAAAUGGAUUCGUCUGCCCAAGGAUGGGUCUGCGGCCUAUCAGGUAGUAGUGGGUGUAAUGUACCUACUAGCCUACGACGGGUACGGGUUGUGAGAGCAAGAGCCCGGAGAUGGAUUCUGAGACAUGAAUCCAGGCCCUACGGGGCGCAGCAGGCGCGAAAACUUUACAAUGCGGGAAACCGUGAUAAGGGGACACCGAGUGCCAGCAUCAUAUGCUGGCUGUCCAGGUGUGUAAAAUACACCUGUUAGCAAGGGCCGGGCAAGACCGGUGCCAGCCGCCGCGGUAACACCGGCGGCCCGAGUGGUGAUCGUGAUUAUUGGGUCUAAAGGGUCCGUAGCCGGUUUGGUCAGUCCUCCGGGAAAUCUGACAGCUUAACUGUUAGGCUUUCGGAGGAUACUGCCAGACUUGGAACCGGGAGAGGUAAGAGGUACUACAGGGGUAGGAGUGAAAUCUUGUAAUCCCUGUGAGACCACCUGUGGCGAAGGCGUCUUACCAGAACGGGUUCGACGGUGAGGGACGAAAGCUGGGGGCACGAACC
RNAcentral lists this ribosomal RNA (645 nucleotides) under uncultured archaeon. Its description in RNAcentral is "bacterial SSU rRNA". It matches the Rfam family "Archaeal small subunit ribosomal RNA", at positions 82 to 725 of the family's 1478-position model. The record is from RNAcentral.